GUCUACAGGCAUUCCAUCCUGAAUGAGCCCAAUCUCAUCUGAUUUCAGAAUUUAAGCAAGGUCUGGCAAGGUUAGUACUUGAAUGGAAGAUGGGUUGCAUGGGAGGAAAAAUCAGAUUUGUGGAUU
This is a ribosomal RNA of Bison bison bison, 126 nucleotides long. The record is from Ensembl. NCBI's taxonomy places the organism in Eukaryota, Metazoa, Chordata, Mammalia, Artiodactyla, Bovidae.